GAGAAGGAAUGAGUGGGAAUGUGGUGUAGGGUGAAAGAAGGAAUGAAUGGGUAUGCAUUUGAAACUGAGAGAAGGAAUGAGUGGUAACGUGGUGUAGGGUGAAUGAAGGAAUGAAUGGGUAUGCAUUUGAGACUGAGAGAAGGAAUGAGUAGUAAUGUGGUGUAGGGCGAAAGAAGGAAUGAAUGGGUAUGCAUUUGAGACUGAGAGAUGGAAUGAGUGGUAAUGUGGUGUAGGGUGAAAAAAGGAAUGAAUGGGUAUGCAUUUGAGACUGAGAGAAGGAAUGAGUGGUAAUGUGGUGUAGGGUGAAAAAAGGAAUGAAUGGGUAUGCAUUUGAGACUGAGAGAAGAAAUGAGUGGUAAUGUGGUGUAGGGUGAAAGAAGGAAUGAAUGGGUAUGCAUUUGAGACUGAGAGAAGGAAUGAGUAUUUUAGACUGAGAGAAAUAAUGAGUGGGAAAGCAUUUGAGACUGAGAGAUG
Molecule: non-coding RNA, 474 nt
Organism: Pelobates cultripes (western spadefoot toad)
Lineage: Eukaryota; Metazoa; Chordata; Amphibia; Anura; Pelobatidae
Source: the annotation of a GenBank genome assembly